Molecule: long non-coding RNA, 708 nt
Filed under: Pan troglodytes (chimpanzee)
Lineage: Eukaryota; Metazoa; Chordata; Mammalia; Primates; Hominidae
Description: lincRNA
Source: RNAcentral
AUCCUCUCUCCUAUUAAAUGGAGGCCAUCAGCACGCUUAGACACGCCUGCCAGCUUUAAGAGUUUAGGGCUAAACAAAUGAAGCACACAGUGCACUUCAAAGACUUCGAGAGGAAGGCUCAGUGUGCACAGAGGCCCAGGAACCCUGAGCUUCCCCAGGAUGCCCAUCCUGAGCCCUCAGGGGCCAUCUAACCCACUCAAACUCCAAACACUAGUCCCUCCCCCAUCACAAGGAAAGACAGACACAGACACAGGAAGCAUCAACUCUGAGGCUUUGGCCAGGAUGUGAGCCCGACUUUCGCAGCCCCAACUGGCAGGCUGACCUCAUGUGAACUCCCUGGCGAUGGCAUCCUGGAGACACCCACAUGGCUGAGCUGGCAUCAUAGGCACUCAUAAUCCAGGUUCAGUUUCUGCCAGCACUGAUUUGGUUUAUUCCACAUGGCUUGGGCCACUGCGGGACUCCAUUUGUUCUGGGGCCACCUUCCUGUCACCUUUUACUGUUUCUUGAGUUAGCAAGAAAGGCAGAUCCGACUGAAGACUCCAGCACUCUCCUCAGCUGCAGCCCCCACAAAGCUCCGCGAAGUCCUUUCUCCCACAGGACAGAUCUGAGGCACCCACCAUUAGAAGAAAGGAGUGGAGAAAUGAUAUGCAGGAAGAAGGCCCAUUCUGAUUCACCAAUCGCAUGGACGCACUUUCCUACCAGGCUAGG